RNAcentral lists this unclassified non-coding RNA (313 nucleotides) under Hevea brasiliensis (rubber tree). Lineage: Eukaryota; Viridiplantae; Streptophyta; Magnoliopsida; Malpighiales; Euphorbiaceae. The record is from RNAcentral.
AGAGGAUGCAGUGGAUAUUGGGAUCAUCGGAGGAGGAGAAAUCAAUGGACAGGGAUUGAAGUUUGUAGAGAGAUUUGAUGACAAGAAGAAUGUGAUGGUAAGCUGGAACCAUACUGGAGCUUGCCUUGGAGAUGAGUGUAGGCCGAGGUUGGUAGGGUUCAUCGGCUGCCGAAAUAUUAAAGUCUCUGAUGUUAGACUUAUUGAACCUGCUUAUUGGUGUUUGCAUGUUGUACGAAGUGAUAAGACAUCAAUCUGUGAUGUAAUCAUAUAUGGGAACUUCAAUUCACCCAACAACGAUGGUAUAGACAUAGAG